This 497-nucleotide ribosomal RNA is filed under the name uncultured bacterium. RNAcentral's name for it is "partial 16S ribosomal RNA". It matches the Rfam family "Bacterial small subunit ribosomal RNA", at positions 28 to 507 of the family's 1533-position model. The record is from RNAcentral.
GACGAACGCUGGCGGCGUGCCUAAUACAUGCAAGUUGAGCGAUGAAGAUUGGUGCUUGCACCAAUUUGAAGAGCAGCGAACGGGUGAGUAACGCGUGGGGAAUCUGCCUUUGAGCGGGGGACAACAUUUGGAAACGAAUGCUAAUACCGCAUAACAACUUUAAACAUAAGUUUUAAGUUUGAAAGAUGCAAUUGCAUCACUCAAAGAUGAUCCCGCGUUGUAUUAGCUAGUUGGUGAGGUAAAGGCUCACCAAGGCGAUGAUACAUAGCCGACCGGAGAGGGUGAUCGGCCACAUUGGGACUGAGACACGGCCCAAACUCCUACGGGAGGCAGCAGUAGGGAAUCUUCGGCAAUUGACGAAAGUCUGACCGAGCAACGCCGCGUGAGUGAAGAAGGUUUUCGGAUCGUAAAACUCUGUUGGUAGAGAAGAACGUUGGUGAGAGUGGAAAGCUCAUCAAGUGACGGUAACUACCCAGAAAGGGACGGCUAACUACGUG